GCCCGAGUGGCGGAAUUGGUAGACGCGCUGGUCUCAAAAACCUGUGAGGUUACACUCGUGCCGGUUCGAUCCCGGCCUCGGGUACCA
RNAcentral lists this transfer RNA (87 nucleotides) under Bacteroidetes bacterium GWF2_41_31. RNAcentral describes it as "tRNA-Leu". It matches the Rfam family "tRNA". From Rfam's summary of the family: Transfer RNA (tRNA) molecules are approximately 80 nucleotides in length. Lineage: Bacteria; Pseudomonadati; Bacteroidota. RNAcentral also lists the same sequence under 1 other name. The record is from RNAcentral.